CUGUAUAUUAGUGAUUACAUGUUACUACCGCCGUGUCUUGUAUUCGAUCAGGYSAACGACGCUGGCGGCGUGCCUAACACAUGCAAGGUCGAACGGUAACAGGUCCUUCGGGAUGCUGACGAGUGGCGCACGGGUGAGUAAACGCGUGGAUAUCUGCCUAUUAGUGGGGGACAAACUUUCGGAAACCGGAAGCUAAUACCCCSCUUWUAWUCUUYUASGGRGGARAGCAGGGGACCUUUCGGGGCCUUGUGCUGAUAGAUGAGUCCGCGUCUGAUUAGCUAGUUGGUAGGGUAAAGGCCUACCAAGGCGAUGAUCAGUAUCUGGUUUGAGAGGAUGAUCAGACACACUGGAACUGAGACACGGUCCAGACUUCUACGGAAGGCRGCAGUGGGGAAUAUUGCACAAUGGGGGAAACCCUGAUGCAGCGACGCCGCGUGUGGGAAGAAGGCUUUAGGGUUGUAAACCACUUUCAAUUGGGAAGAAGAGAUGAGUACUAAUAUUAUUCUGAUUUGACGGUACCUUUAGAAGAAGCACCGGCUAAUUUCGUGCCAGCAGCCGCGGUAAUACSAAAGGUGCAAGCGUUGUUCGGAUUUACUGGGCGUAAAGCGAGUGUAGGUUGUUUAUUAAGUCGGAUGUGAAAUCCCAGGGCUCAACCCKGGAACUGCAUUCGAUACUGAUAGGCUAGAGUUCGGGAGGGGUAAGCGGAAUUCYGUGUGUAGCAKUGAAAUGCGUAKAUAUACKGAGGAACACCUGARGCGAMGCGCAUUUUGGSUUWCUGGMCSGAURSUGACMCUGARACUCRAARGCGUGGGUAGCAAACAGGAUUAGAUACCCUGGUAGUCCACGCCCUAAACGAUGUCAACUAGCCSWUGCGGGUAUCGACCCCUGCAGUGGCGAAGCUAACGCGAUAAGUUGACCCGCCUGGGGGAGUACAGUCGCACGAYMAACUCAAUGAUAG
This 958-nucleotide ribosomal RNA is filed under the name uncultured bacterium. RNAcentral describes it as "partial 16S ribosomal RNA". It matches the Rfam family "Bacterial small subunit ribosomal RNA", at positions 1 to 910 of the family's 1533-position model. The record is from RNAcentral.